Non-coding RNA from Dermatophagoides farinae (American house dust mite), 366 nucleotides. Lineage: Eukaryota; Metazoa; Arthropoda; Arachnida; Sarcoptiformes; Pyroglyphidae. The record is from RefSeq and is a predicted model, not a curated record.
CCAUACCAUCAUCAUCAUCAUUCAUAUAUUCCACGUCGAAAGCGACGUAUUAUAUUUAUCAACACCCGAUGUUGUAGCUAAUUCAAUUUUAUUUUUUUUUUGUUCAAAUCAAAUUUAUUUCCCGUUAUAUUAUAUUGAACGGAUAUAAUUAACAACAACAACAGCAAAAAAAAAAACGAUUCAAACUGGCCAAAAUACGAUUGCCUUUUUUCGGUGAAAAGCUUUUACGGAUUAUCAUACAGUACGAUUUCGUACUGUGAACAAUUGGCCCGAUUACUGGAAACCCCCCUAUAUUGAAUGAAAAUAUAUUUUAUUAUAUAUGAUGAUGAUUUUCUGAAUCUGAAUUUUUGUUGCUGUUGUUUUUUU